RNAcentral lists this long non-coding RNA (481 nucleotides) under Crocodylus porosus (Australian saltwater crocodile). Its description in RNAcentral is "lncRNA (ENSCPRG00005002731.1)". The record is from RNAcentral. Lineage: Eukaryota; Metazoa; Chordata; Crocodylia; Crocodylidae.
GUUAUUCCCAGACAUGUUUAUAACCGUGCUGUACGGUGAGAACGAGCAGGCUCUUUUUAACAUUAACUGUAAGGUCCAGGUUCUCCUGGAGAGUAUCAAGCGCUGCUGUGGCCGUGAGAGUGAAGAGGAAAUUGAGGUGGCAGAUGAGAGCGGCCAGGUGAAGAAUUUGCUCCAGAACCAGCAUUGCUAUGCCUCGGAGCUGCUGAAUGAGAGAGAACUGUGUGUGCUCCUCAGUGUUGCACGAUCAGAUGGCUCUGAAAAGGCAGUAUUUACACCGUUGCUGAAAGAUGAAGGCAUUAUUAACCCUAAAUUUCUAGCAAAGCUGGGGAAUUGGGAAGACUCCAAGGUACCGUCUGCCCGAGCAAGAUCCAGAAAGGCCAGCAGAAAACCCACCUUGCACUUAAGAGAUCCCAGCUGCUGAUAGUAAAAGGACUCAGUCACCCCAGGGCAACAGGAAUAAAAUGGUUUCCCCUUCUAAACA